RNAcentral lists this ribosomal RNA (450 nucleotides) under uncultured bacterium. RNAcentral describes it as "partial 16S ribosomal RNA". It matches the Rfam family "Bacterial small subunit ribosomal RNA", at positions 338 to 795 of the family's 1533-position model. The record is from RNAcentral.
CCUACGGGGGGCUGCAGUCGAGAAUUUUUGGCAAUGGGCGAAAGCCUGACCAAGCGAUGCCGCGUGCGGGAUGAAGGCCUUCGGGUUGUAAACCGCUGUCAGUGGGGAGGAAAGCUUUGUGAAGAGCCAGGCUUGACCUAUCCGCAGAGGAAGUGUGGGCUAAGUUCGUGCCAGCAGCCGCGGUAAGACGAACCACACAAACGUUCUUCGGGGUUACUGGGGUUAGAAGGUUCGUCAGUAAGUCGGUAGGGAAAUACCUCGGCUCAACCGAGGAACUGCGCCCAAAACUACUGUGCUUGAGGAAGAUAGAGGUAAGCGGAACUUACGGUGGAGCGGUGAAAUGCGUGGAUAUCGUAAGGAACACCUGUGGCGAAAGCGGCUUACUGGGUCUUUGCUGACGCUGAUGCACGAAAGCUAGGGGAGCAAACGGGAUUAGAUACCCCUGUAGUC